ACGCACUCCGUAGGAUUGACACCGCACAACUUUUGUCCACUUCCGAACUUCGACCGCGGGGCAUGAGCGCUGUACGUUAAGUUGGCUGCACUAACACCGAGAAGUAUAUGUAAAUCCGACAAGUGUUUUGUUAACAACCUGGAAGACGACUUAUUUGUGACGUCGUUAGUGAAAACAGAAUGAACUAUGCAUCUAUUGCAUUCAAUAAAGCUUUAGAUGAAUGUGAAAUUAAACGUAGAAACGCAAGUUGGAUUGAAAAUUUUUAUGAAAUCGCAUGAGUACGCUGAGGUUUAAUUUGGGCCGAUUUUUUCCAUGACAACUAAAACGAUACUAGUCUUUGAUGGUAAUCCCAAGUCAUUGCAGAGUUUAUAAACAUAAUAUAAUGAUUUCAGUAACGUACACUAUAUUUUGCAAAACACAUGUGAAACAACAUAAUAUUUUCGGAGUUAUUUUAUUACCACUCAAUUCAAAAAUCACUUGAUUAAAAAGUAAAGGAGUAUGUACAAAAUAAUUAUUAUUAUUUAUUUCAAUAAAAUAAUAAAAAUCAUCCGUACAUGAACACAAGACGAACAACAUGAGGUCCACAGGCGACGAUGACGACAGUGACGACGCCAAGUCCUGUGACCUUUUAAAUAAUGCAGCGUUGCCCCCGCACACCCAGCACACUUUGAGGACAGCAAACGAUUCGAUGAACGACGCGGUUGUUAUACAGUUGACGAGUACAAAUCAAUAUUUUAAUAUCAAAUUGUUAUAUAUAUGUACACACUCAUUCGGAGGGGUUGGGUCAAAUGGGAAUCUCGAUAACGUGCCGAAUUUGCGUUUGUUAUAAUAAUUAAAAUAAUAUCAUAAAACCGAAAUAACACCGAAAACACUACACAUUUCAUCCAAGCUGUUUAAAUCUCCAUGAAUUUGUCGGCAUUUUCACGUACAUACUAUGUACCUAAUGGAACUUUCACAACCAGAACAUCAGAAAGUCGACGUUUAUAAAAAAAAAAUGAUAUUUUCUUCAAGCCAAUCCAAAAAAUCUAAAGCUUAAAUUUUUAUUUUUCGCAUCUAUCUCCUUUGGGAUCGAAGUGAUCAAAUUUUUAUCAAAUAAUAGGAUACGAUACAAUGAAGACAUACAUCAUCUGUAAACAAUAAUUUCGACCGAAUAUCAUGGUAUACUGCCCAAAUUAACUAAAACAAUGAUUAUAGAACAAUGAAACCUAUCUUUGCCUCUCGACUAUACGGAUCUUUGCGUAGGAUAUAAAUUUUAUUUCGUCUCAUCACUAUAUUUUUUCUGCCACAGGAAAAGUCUAAAUCUAAGACUUAUUAUUGUAUUUGGAUCUUACUUUGGUAAUUAAUACACUAUAGCAAGCAGUCUUGUAAGGUCGUUCCACUGAAAGAGUAGUUGAUUAAAAGUAUAAUACUUUCUUGCGGU
Sipha flava (yellow sugarcane aphid) is the source of this 1420-nucleotide long non-coding RNA. RefSeq lists it as uncharacterized. The transcript has 5 exons. NCBI's taxonomy places the organism in Eukaryota, Metazoa, Arthropoda, Insecta, Hemiptera, Aphididae. The record is from RefSeq and is a predicted model, not a curated record.